UGAGGAAUAUUGCGCAAUGGGGGCAACCCUGACGCAGCGACGCCGCGUGGGUGAGGAAGGUUUUCGGAUCGUAAAGCCCUGUCAGGUGGGAAGAAGUGUGUAGUGAUUAAUACUCAUUACAUUUGACGGUACCACCAAAGGAAGCACCGGCUAACUCCGUGCCAGCAGCCGCGGUAAUACGGAGGGUGCGAGCGUUGUUCGGAAUCACUGGGCGUAAAGGGCGCGCAGGCGGUUAGUUAAGUCAGAUGUGAAAUCCCACGGCUCAACUGUGGAAGUGCAUUUGAAACUGGCUGACUUGAGUAUCAGAGGGGAAAGUGGAAUUCCCGGUGUAGAGGUGAAAUUCGUAGAUAUCGGGAGGAAUACCGGUGGCGAAAGCGACUUUCUGGCUGAAUACUGACGCUGAGGCGCGAAAGCGUGGGGAGCAAACAGG
This 430-nucleotide ribosomal RNA is filed under the name uncultured Desulfobulbaceae bacterium. RNAcentral's name for it is "bacterial SSU rRNA". It matches the Rfam family "Bacterial small subunit ribosomal RNA", at positions 355 to 776 of the family's 1533-position model. The record is from RNAcentral. Lineage: Bacteria; Pseudomonadati; Thermodesulfobacteriota; Desulfobulbia; Desulfobulbales; Desulfobulbaceae.